GAUAAACGCUGGCGGCGUGCAUGAGACAUGCAAGUCGAACGAACGACCUCGGGCUUGCCCGAGGAAGUUAGUGGCGAACGGCUGAGUAACGCGUGGGUGACCUGCCCAGAAGUGGGGAAUAACUGCCCGAAAGGGUGGCUAAUACCGCAUGUGGCCAAGAGUUCAUUCUCUUGAUCAAAGCCUUCGGGCGCUUCUGGAGGGGCCUGCGUUCGAUUAGCUCGUUGGUGAGGUAACGGCUCACCAAGGCGACGAUCGAUAGGUGGUCUGAGAGGAUGAUCACCCAGACUGGGACUGAGACACGGCCCAGACUCCUACGGGUGGCAG
Molecule: ribosomal RNA, 324 nt
Filed under: uncultured Chloroflexota bacterium
Lineage: Bacteria; Bacillati; Chloroflexota
Description: bacterial SSU rRNA
Rfam family: Bacterial small subunit ribosomal RNA
Source: RNAcentral